This 570-nucleotide long non-coding RNA is filed under the name Erythranthe guttata (spotted monkey flower). RNAcentral's name for it is "long non-coding RNA (EGUT_LNC003739)". Lineage: Eukaryota; Viridiplantae; Streptophyta; Magnoliopsida; Lamiales; Phrymaceae. The record is from RNAcentral.
ACAGAAGCAGGUGGUCGAACAAAGAAUUGUCGGUGCCCCUACCUUCUAUGCCCUCAUGGCGGCACUCCACGAGGCCUGAACCACCACGAUGCUGCUGUCGUGAGAAACAACAGCCCCUGCUCGCCAUGAGAAUUGUCGUCCGUGAAGAAUGAGAUCAGUCUCCAUGCGGGUGGAAAUUAGACGGUGUCUUUGUGGUGGCGAUGGUGGGGAUGGUGAUGGUGUGGUGUGACGGCGGUAUGGUGACAAUUGAGAGACAGAUCUAGAGUUUUUGGUUAGAUCCGGUAGUCGAUUAAAGUUAAUCAUUACGUUUUUUAAUUCAUUUUAGAACUUUUGGUUAUUGAUUCCCGAUUUUGCAACGUGUAGUCGGACUUGGGGCAUUUCGGCAGUGUGUUUUUGUUCUGUCAUUGUCAAUCCAUCAUCCAAUUUCUAUAAAUCAAUAAAAUUUUUGUAUAUUUGUUGUUUUGUAAAAAAAGUUGAUUUAUAUUUUCUUCUUUGUAGUUGUUUUUGUUAUUUGUUUCGGUUGGUUAUUGUUUGGAAUCUUUUGUUGAAUCGUGUUGGUUUUGAUUGAAU